GAAUAUUGGACAAUGGUCGGAAGACUGAUCCAGCCAUGCCGCGUGCAGGAUGACGGCCCUAUGGGUUGUAAACUGCUUUUAUACGGGAAGAAACCCACCUACGUGUAGGUGGCUGACGGUACCGUAAGAAUACGGACCGGCUAACUCCGUGCCAGCAGCCGCGGUAAUACGGAGGGUCCGAGCGUUAUCCGGAAUCAUUGGGUUUAAAGGGUCCGUAGGAGGGCCUGUAAGUCAGGGGUGAAAGUCUGUGGCUCAACCAUAGAAUUGCCUUUGAUACUGCAGGUCUUGAGUCAUGGUGGGGUUGCCGGAACAUGUGGUGUAGCGGUGAAAUGCAUAGAUAUCACAUAGAACACCGAUCGCGAAGGCAGGUGACCAACCAUGUACUGACGCUGAUGGACGAAAGCGUGGGUAGCGAACGGG
RNAcentral lists this ribosomal RNA (420 nucleotides) under uncultured bacterium. RNAcentral describes it as "bacterial SSU rRNA". It matches the Rfam family "Bacterial small subunit ribosomal RNA", at positions 359 to 776 of the family's 1533-position model. The record is from RNAcentral.